This 415-nucleotide ribosomal RNA is filed under the name uncultured eukaryote. RNAcentral describes it as "SSU rRNA". It matches the Rfam family "Eukaryotic small subunit ribosomal RNA", at positions 592 to 1018 of the family's 1831-position model. The record is from RNAcentral.
CAAUAGCGUAUAUUUAAGUUGUUGCAGUUAAAAAGCUCGUAGUUGGAUUUUGGUUAAGAGGGCGCGGUCGGCCGUUUGGUCUGUACUGCGUUGUCUUGACUUCCUGAUGAGGACAUGCUCUUGGUUAACGCUGAGACAUGGAGUCAUCGUGGUUACUUUGAAAAAAUUAGAGUGUUCAAAGCGGGCUUACGCUUGAAUAUAUUAGCAUGGAAUAACACUAUAGGACUCCUGUCCUAUCUCGUUGGUCUCGGGAUGGGAGUAAUGAUUAAGAGGAACAGUUGGGGGCAUUCGUAUUUCAUUGUCAGAGGUGAAAUUCUUGGAUUUAUGAAAGACGAACUUCUGCGAAAGCAUUUGCCAAGGAUGUUUUCAUUAAUCAAGAACGAAAGUUGGGGGCUCGAAGACGAUUAGAUACCAU